This 73-nucleotide transfer RNA is filed under the name Danio rerio (zebrafish). RNAcentral's name for it is "tRNA-Tyr (GTA) (tRNA-Tyr-GTA-38-1)". It matches the Rfam family "tRNA". Rfam says of the family: Transfer RNA (tRNA) molecules are approximately 80 nucleotides in length. Their secondary structure includes four short double-helical elements and three loops (D, anti-codon, and T loops). The record is from RNAcentral. Lineage: Eukaryota; Metazoa; Chordata; Actinopteri; Cypriniformes; Danionidae.
CCUUCGAUAGCUCAGUUGGUAGAGCGGAGGACUGUAGAUCCUUAGGUCGCUGGUUCGACUCCGACUUGAAGGA